This 21-nucleotide non-coding RNA is filed under the name Caenorhabditis elegans. The record is from RNAcentral. Lineage: Eukaryota; Metazoa; Nematoda; Chromadorea; Rhabditida; Rhabditidae.
CAAAAAAUUUAUCUGACCAAA